This is a long non-coding RNA of Astatotilapia calliptera (eastern happy), 3261 nucleotides long. The record is from Ensembl. NCBI's taxonomy places the organism in Eukaryota, Metazoa, Chordata, Actinopteri, Cichliformes, Cichlidae.
UGGAAGCAUCUGAAGUCACAGAACAGAAUCUCCUUUAUUUUAAAUACUGCUGUGGCAAAACGGGAUUUCGCAGAGUCAGACUGUUUUUCUCUAAAUGCCUCCUGGUUGAUGACUAGUUGACAUCCAGAGCAAGGCCAAGGAUUACAUUAGCCUGCCAUGCUCACCUGGCGAGGGAUAGCACAUACGUUCUCUCUCGUAGUUAUCUGUCAGUACAACAAUGUGCUCAAAAAUAAACGGAGAGCGUCUCACAACACAAUUUGUACAUGUUUGUCUUGCCGUAGUUGUUAUUAUGAGACAAGGGUCUCAGUAGUUCGCUGACUGGAGGCCACUUUUUUCGUGUCCCUAGUUGUUUAAUGCCUAAGGGCAAAGCUUUUAACUCUUAGUAGUGUGGAGAGAAAUCUAAUUUAGCACAGUUCACUCCUAAAAAAGAACAAGUCACAUUUGCUCUUUUGAACAUUCAGAUGUGAGUUUGCAUGGAAGUUUGAGUGGCAGUUUGCUUUCUGAUGAUCUCUUGAUGAUCAUCUUCAAAGCACCUCUGCAGUGACUCGCUGAUGGCCUGACAGAGAUGGUUCAUCCUCUGGACAUACUGGCAAAAAAGCCUUUUUGGAGCCUUGCGUUUCUUCUCAUUUUCAUUAGUUUUAGGUAAUGUGUGUCGUUGAUCAGUGGUGCCUAGUUGAAAAAGUAUUUUUCUGUUAGGAAUCCGUAGUUUCCCAGCUAAUCUGAGCGUGUGCGUGCGUGUGUGUGUGGAUUAGGAAUAGCUGUAAAUCGAAUGGCGAAAAUAUUUUCUAAGAGUACUUAGCAGUCUCUUUUUAAAAUGCUCAUAUUACAUGUGAGACUUGCAAAAAUAGUAUUUAGCAAUAGUAUUCACACUUUUUUUUCCUUAUUCUGGUUUAUGCUGGCUGACAGGAAAUGAGAUGAACUGAAAUGACAUUUACCUCUUUAUGACUCAUAUGCUAGCUGUGCUGGGCAAAGGCCCUCGAUUGUACAAACACAGCAGUUUUUAAAAAAAAUGCCUUUGGCGUAAGUGCAAGCUUAUAUUAUCGGGUUGUAUUUUAAAGCCCCAGUGUGUGUCUUGCAUGUUACUGACCUUAAACUUUAGUGUUUUGUAUUGAUUUUUUUUUAAGCUCAUCUGACUGAAGGUUCAGUGCGCUUACGCCAUAGCGAGGCAUCCGUCGUCCGUUUGUCCCACCGCAAUUCACAAGAAUCCAUACUCCUCCCAGAGUACUGGUCAGAUUUUAAUGAAACACAGUGAUCACCUGAUGUGUCUUCACCCACACUGUGCUCAAGGUCAAGGCUGUACAAGUCAUUUUUACAAGAAUCGCUUCUCCUCCUGGAGUAUUGGUCUGUCUUUAGUGAAGCAAGGCUAGAUAAUCCUGGAUACGACUGUUUGUGAGCCUCCUUGACUUCUCCCUCGACUUUAAUUAUCAUUCAUUUGUGCAAAAGAGCCGCACAGCUUUCUUUCUGUACUUCACACAUUACAACAACCUUUGAACUGUGAUGGAUCAUGAAGCAAAUGAGCUGUAAUGUCACUGACGCUUUGGUUAGUGAGUGUUUAGUUUUUUUACAUUUUAUUGUAGAUUUUAAUUAGGAUAAUUGUCUUAAGGGGCAUCAUUCUGUUUUAAAUUUUACACUUAGAAAAGAGGCCAAAAAAUACCAUUUUUAUAUGGCGUCCUCUUGAUAUUAGUUUAGAAAGUAUCCAUCCACUUUCUUCCGCUUAUCCAGUUCAGGGUCAUGGAGGCUUAGCUGGAGCCUUUGCCAGCUGCCAUAGAGCAGAGGUGGGGUACACUCUGGACACGUUGCCAGUCUCAUAUUCAUAUGAAUGGGCAAUUUACAAUGCUUGGAGUCUGAGAGUAAGCCAGAAAGAACAGGGAAAACACGCAGACUCCCAGAAACACUUCAUGGAUUUGAACCCAAGACCUUCUUGCUGUGAGGCAACAGGUUCAACCACUGCACUACCGGCAUAGAAGCUAUUAACAAAAACACAAAGUUAGCGUGUGGAUCUAUCGGAUACUAGCUGAGAUUUCCUGGGCAUGCCCCCGUGGAAAGAGGCCCCGGGGUAGGCCCAGGCCACGCCGGAGACACUACGUCCCUCAGCACUGCCUGGGAAUGCCUCGGUGCUUUCCCCGAAUGAGCUGAAGGAGGUGGCUGGGGAGAGGGAGGUUUGGGAUUCCCUUUUGAUCCAGCCCCAGAUGAGCUGGUGGAAAGCGGAUGGAUGGAUGGAUGUUUAAUUUCUAUGACUGAACCUGAACAAGAUGGUGAAACAUAGGAGUCACACACUGGGGUUUAUUGUAUCCCGACUCCUGCUUUCAUUUGACGUCAGUGUAAAUAGAAGCGGUUUGAUUUGUCUCGCCUUGUCAGAAGCCAAUUUGUGUGGAGAAAUAUGCCCCAGAUUUUACCUUUGUUACCACUCUUUGGCCAAGGCCUGAUAUAAGACUGUUACCUCGCUCGAGUUUUGACUGUAAAGGACUGUUCUCUCCUUCUGAAGAUAGUAUCUACUAUAUAUUUGUACUGAUUUUAUUUUGUAAUGCCAAAAGUUAAAGAAUUGAAUAAAAAUACAAAAAAAAAAACCAAACCUCACAUUGGUACAGCCGUUGAACCAUUUUGCCAGAAAACAAAAAACAAAACAUCCAAUCCUUUUGAUUCAGGAUAACUCAAGACUGUCUCCUUCUACUCCUGCAGCUACGAGACAGCAGCAUAUAUAGCAGUAUGUAUAUGUGACUGUACAUGGAAUAGUUCCGAUUAAUAUUACUACAACAUGUGGUGUACUUUGAAGGUAUCUUUGUGCAAUUCUACCUGCGGCUCUUCAGCGUGUCGUACGUAUGUGUGAGAGAGUAACCGUGCCGUUUUCUUGUUAAAAAUCACUGUCGCUUAUUGUGAGGAUAAUGUUGAGUAUAAUGUUAACAUAAUAACUGUCGAUUUAAAAAAAAAAAAGCCAAAACUUUUUCGUGUCAUCAUGGAUAUCAAGUUGAUUUUGUAUCUUGGUGUAAAGCAGAUUCAGAGGUUUCCGAUGCAUACUGAGUGAGAUGUUCUCACGUUUGUUGUGUCUGUUUGGUUGCACACCAUCAUGUUUUUUUGCUUUGUUUGUUUGGGGGGUUUUUUUUGUUUUGUUUUUUGUUUUUUAGAAGGUGGGGUUGUAUUUAGAUUUCUUCCAUCUCACUGAUCAUCACUGAGAUUCUGCGAUAUUGGACGCAGACGUCUGCUUAACUCUAUUGAACAGAAAACUGUGGAUUUUGUGUCAAAAUAAAUGUGCUACCAAAUACA